GCAAGUCGAGGGGUAACAGGGAGCUUGCUCCGCUGACGACCGGCGCACGGGUGCGUAACGCGUAUAGAACCUACCUUUUACAGAGGGAUAGCCUUUAGAAAUGAAGAUUAAUACCGCAUGGUAUUUAGUAGUGGCAUCACUAUUAACUUAAAGAUUUAUCGGUAAAAGAUGGCUAUGCGUCCUAUUAGCUAGAUGGAGAGGUAACGGCCCCCCAUGGCGACGAUAGGUAGGGGCCCUGAGAGGGGGAUC
This 249-nucleotide ribosomal RNA is filed under the name uncultured bacterium. RNAcentral's name for it is "partial 16S ribosomal RNA". It matches the Rfam family "Bacterial small subunit ribosomal RNA", at positions 57 to 305 of the family's 1533-position model. The record is from RNAcentral.